This 779-nucleotide ribosomal RNA is filed under the name uncultured Neocallimastigales. Its description in RNAcentral is "partial large subunit ribosomal RNA". It matches the Rfam family "Eukaryotic large subunit ribosomal RNA", at positions 22 to 644 of the family's 3401-position model. The record is from RNAcentral. Lineage: Eukaryota; Fungi; Neocallimastigomycota; Neocallimastigomycetes; Neocallimastigales.
CAUAGCGACUAUCGUGGCAUAUCAAUAAGCGGAGGAAAAGAAACUAACAAGGAUUCCCCUAGUAACGGCGAGUGAAGCGGGAAGAGCUCAAAUUUGAAAUCUUAAAGGGUUCUACCUUGACGAAUUGUAGUUUAUAGAAGUGUUUUCUGUUAGGAGUUUCGGUAAAAGUUCUUUGGAAUAGGACAUCAUAGAGGGUGAGAAUCCCGUAUUUGACCGUUAUCUUUCCUAGCUGUGUGAUACACUUUCAAAGAGUCGGAUUGUUUGGGAAUGCAGUCCAAGAUGGGUGGUAAAUUUCAUCUAAAGCUAAAGUAUUGGCGAGAGACCGAUAGCGAACAAGUACCGUGAGGGAAAGAUGAAAAGAACUUUGAAAAGAGAGUUAAACAGUACGUGAAAUUGUCAAAAGGGAAGCGUUUGACACCAGUGUUGUUUUUCCGAAAAUCAAUUAAAAAUUGAUUCAUGCUAGGUUGUAUUGACCUCAUCAGCUUGCAAUUUAGUUUUGGGUCUCUUUUUGAUGCACUUUUCGGUUAACAAGUCAACAUCAAUUUCCUUUGCUGUAAAAAGGUAAGAGGAAGGUGGCUUCAAUUUCGGUUGAAGUGUUUAUAGCCUUUUAUCUCUGCAGUCGGGGAGAUUGAGGUCUGCAGCGUAGAUCCUUCGGGGCUAGAUACAUUUAUGCUAAGUUAUAGCUUUUCAUAGACAACUUGUUGACUAUGCUUAGUCAUGUAGCUUACUCGUAAGUGCUAUUUUACCUACGCUUAGAUGUUGAAGAUAUGCGCGACACG